Molecule: small nucleolar RNA, 127 nt
Organism: Bombina bombina (fire-bellied toad)
Lineage: Eukaryota; Metazoa; Chordata; Amphibia; Anura; Bombinatoridae
Product: small nucleolar RNA SNORA3/SNORA45 family
Exons: 1
Source: RefSeq, a predicted model, not a curated record
CUUGAGGCUAGAGUCACAUCCUGACACCUUAUUGUCUUGGUGUGCUAGAGCUCUCAUAGAGCAAACACUGGUCUUUAUUCACUGGCUGAAUUGUGUAGUUCAGUCAGCCGCCUGCUCAGUGACAGCC